GAUGAAGAACGUAGCGAAAUGCGAUACGUAAUGUGAAUUGCAGAAUUCAGUGAAUCAUCGAGUCUUUGAACGCACAUUGCGCCCCCUGGUAUUCCGGGGGGCAUGCCAGUCCGAGCGUCAUUGCUGCCCUCAAGCCCGGCUUGUGUGUUGGGUCUCGUCCCCCUUCCCGGGGGGACGGGCCCGAAAGGCAGCGGCGGCACCGCGUCCGGUCCUCGAGCGUAUGGGGCUUUGUCACCCGCUCUGUAGGCCCGGCCGGCGCUUGCCGAUCAACCAAAACUUUUUUCCAGGUUGACCUCGGAUCAGGUAGGGAUACCCGCUGAACUUAAGCAUAUCAAUAAGCGGAGGA
This 346-nucleotide unclassified non-coding RNA is filed under the name soil metagenome. RNAcentral's name for it is "partial contains 5.8S ribosomal RNA, internal transcribed spacer 2, and large subunit ribosomal RNA". The stretch from base 1 to 120 matches the Rfam family "5.8S ribosomal RNA", at positions 35 to 154 of the family's 154-position model. The record is from RNAcentral.